RNAcentral lists this ribosomal RNA (253 nucleotides) under uncultured bacterium. Its description in RNAcentral is "partial 16S ribosomal RNA". It matches the Rfam family "Bacterial small subunit ribosomal RNA", at positions 524 to 776 of the family's 1533-position model. The record is from RNAcentral.
GACGGAGGGUGCUAGCGUUGUUCGGAAUCACUGGGCGUAAAGGGCUCGUAGGCGGCCAACUAAGUCAGACGUGAAAUCCCUCAGCUUAACUGGGGAACUGCGUCUGAUACUGGAUGGCUUGGAUUUGGGAGAGGGAUGCGGAAUUCCAGGUGUAGCGGUGAAAUGCGUAGAUAUCUGGAGGAACACCGGUGGCGAAGGCGGCAUCCUGGACCAAUAUUGACGCUGAGGAGCGAAAGCCAGGGGAGCAAACGGG